RNAcentral lists this ribosomal RNA (22 nucleotides) under uncultured bacterium. RNAcentral's name for it is "partial 23S ribosomal RNA". The record is from RNAcentral.
GGUCAAGUGAACAAGUGCAUGU